This 492-nucleotide ribosomal RNA is filed under the name uncultured bacterium. RNAcentral describes it as "partial 16S ribosomal RNA". It matches the Rfam family "Bacterial small subunit ribosomal RNA", at positions 29 to 507 of the family's 1533-position model. The record is from RNAcentral.
AGCGAACGCUGGCGGUAGGCCUAACACAUGCAAGUCGAACGGCAGCACAGUAAGUUCUUGCUCUUACGGGUGGCGAGUGGCGGACGGGUGAGGAAUACAUCGGAAUCUACUUUUUCGUGGGGGAUAACGUAGGGAAACUUACGCUAAUACCGCAUACGACCUACGGUUGAAAGCAUGGGAUCUUCGGACCUUGCGCGAUUGAAUGAGCCGAUGUCGGAUUAGCUAGUUGGCGGGGUAAAGACCCACCAAGGCGACGAUCCGUAGCUGGUCUGAGAGGAUGAUCGGCCACACUGGAACUGAGACACGGUCCAGGCGCCUACGAGAGGCAGCAGUGGGGAAUGUUAGACAAUGGGCGCAAGCCUGAUCCAGCCAUACCGCGUGGGUGAAGAAGGCGUUCGGGUUGUAAAGCCCUUUUGUUGGGAAAGAAACGCAGCAGGUUAAUACCCCGCUGUUCUGACGGUACCCAAAGAAUAAGCACCGGCUAACUUCGUG